Molecule: long non-coding RNA, 397 nt
Organism: Tigriopus californicus
Lineage: Eukaryota; Metazoa; Arthropoda; Copepoda; Harpacticoida; Harpacticidae
Exons: 3
Source: RefSeq, a predicted model, not a curated record
ACUGGGCGUGUAUUCCAAGGAAUGCUAGCUUCAUCAGCCCUACUAAAAGAUGUGACACCAUGACCAAGCCUAUUCGACAUUUUGGCAAAGAGCGUUAUUUUCCAUCCAGGAAACCGUCAGUAAAGUCAAGUGUGUCAAUCUUUCAAACAUGUUUUUAUUAUAUCAAACUUCAUCCGUAAGAUGCAAUUUGAACCCACGUCCUCGGGUGAAUGUAUAUAUUCGUGCCUGUAUCGGGUAAAUUAGCCCCCUCAGCUUGCCUGUUAAAUGCAUGACCGUCUUCAAUACCUUUUGUAAUAUGAGACAUCCACCCAAAGAUGUGCGCAUUUCGUCAGAAAUCGGAUUAUUUUAGAUUAUUCUUUAGUGGAAAACAAUGAACAAUAUUACUAUGGAAUGAAAA